AGGCUAUGAUGACUAAAGUUAUACCAUCAAACUAUGAAGACUCAUUGUUGUUGAUGUCUUUGAUUAAUUCAUAACUAAUAUCUCUGAGCCU
Small nucleolar RNA from Impatiens glandulifera, 91 nucleotides. RefSeq annotates it as small nucleolar RNA snoR116. The record is from RefSeq and is a predicted model, not a curated record. The transcript has a single exon. NCBI's taxonomy places the organism in Eukaryota, Viridiplantae, Streptophyta, Magnoliopsida, Ericales, Balsaminaceae.